UAGGGAAUCUUCGGCAAUGGGGGGAACCCUGACCGAGCAACGCCGCGUGAGUGAAGAAGGGUUUCGGAUCGUAAAGCUCUGUUGGUAAGGAAGAACGAGUGUGAGAAUGGAAAGUUCAUACUGUGACGGUACUUAACCAGAAAGGGACGGCUAACUACGUGCCAGCAGCCGCGGUAAUACGUAGGUCCCGAGCGUUGUCCGGAUUUAUUGGGCGUAAAGCGAGCGCAGGCGGUUAGAUAAGUCUGAAGUUAAAGGCAGUGGCUCAACCAUUGUAGGCUUUGGAAACUGUUUAACUUGAGUGCAGAAGGGGAGAUUGGAAUUCCAUGUGUAGCGGUGAAAUGCGUAGAUAUAUGGAGGAACACCGGUGGCGAAAGCGGCUCUCUGGCCAUCAUCUGCCGCUGAGGUCCGAAAGCGUGGGUAGCAACCAGG
Molecule: ribosomal RNA, 429 nt
Filed under: Bacteroidota bacterium
Lineage: Bacteria; Pseudomonadati; Bacteroidota
Description: Bacteroidetes bacterium partial 16S ribosomal RNA
Rfam family: Bacterial small subunit ribosomal RNA
Source: RNAcentral